UACCAGCUCUCCGAGUGGUAGGGAUGAUUAUUGGGCUUAAAGCGUCCGUAGCCGGCUUAGCAAGUUUCCUGUUGAAUUCAGCGACCUAAUCGUUGAGCCGCGGGAAAUACUACUAGGCUAGGAGGCGGGAGAGGUCGACGGUACUUCUGGGGUAGGGGUGAAAUCCUAUAAUCCCGGGAGGACCACCAGUGGCGAAGGCUGUCGACUAGAACGCGCUCGACGGUGAGGGACGAAAGCUGGGGGAGCGAACCGGAUUAGAUACCCGGGUAGUCCCAGCUGUAAACGAUGCGGGCUAGGUGUUGGGGUGGCUACGUGCCACUUCAGUGCCGCAGGGAAGCCAUUAAGCCCGCCGCCUGGGGAGUACGGCCGCAAGGCUGAAACUUAAAGGAAUUGGCGGGGGAGCACCACAAGGCGUGAAGCUUGCGGUUC
RNAcentral lists this ribosomal RNA (429 nucleotides) under uncultured archaeon. RNAcentral's name for it is "bacterial SSU rRNA". It matches the Rfam family "Archaeal small subunit ribosomal RNA", at positions 474 to 903 of the family's 1478-position model. The record is from RNAcentral.